This 214-nucleotide ribosomal RNA is filed under the name Gardnerella vaginalis. RNAcentral describes it as "partial 16S ribosomal RNA". It matches the Rfam family "Bacterial small subunit ribosomal RNA", at positions 1331 to 1533 of the family's 1533-position model. The record is from RNAcentral. Lineage: Bacteria; Bacillati; Actinomycetota; Actinomycetes; Bifidobacteriales; Bifidobacteriaceae.
GUCGCUAGUAAUCGCGAAUCAGCAACGUCGCGGUGAAUGCGUUCCCGGGCCUUGUACACACCGCCCGUCAAGUCAUGAAAGUGGGCAGCACCCGAAGCCGGUGGCCUAACCCUUUUGGGAUGGAGCCGUCUAAGGUGAGGCUCGUGAUUGGGACUAAGUCGUAACAAGGUAGCCGUACCGGAAGGUGCGGCUGGAUCACCUCCUUUCUACGGAG